GAUGAAGAACGUAGCGAAAUGCGAUAAGUAGUGUGAAUUGCAGAAUUCCGUGAAUCAUCGAAUCUUUGAACGCACAUUGCGCCUUCUGGUAUUCCGGAAGGCAUGCCUGUUCGAGAGUCAUUAACAACCGUUUCGAUCCCUUUCUUUCAGAAAUUACAAAGAGGAAAAGGGUUUGGUUAUGGUGGAGGAGGGAAAGGGCGCGUUUAGCCUGUAAAAAAAGAGGCUGUGUUCCGCCUCCCCCCCAAAAUUGUACAGGCGGUCGUGUGCGCCCACGCAUCGAGGUGUUGUAAAAGCUGCCACGGCACUUUUCACCUGUGCAGUGCGAGAUUGGCCAGCCGGUUUAAAAACCCCUCCAAACAAUCAAAGGUUGACCUCGGAUCAGGUAGGGAUACCCGCUGAACUUAAGCAUAUCAAUAAGCGGAGGA
Molecule: unclassified non-coding RNA, 425 nt
Filed under: soil metagenome
Description: partial contains 5.8S ribosomal RNA, internal transcribed spacer 2, and large subunit ribosomal RNA
Rfam family: 5.8S ribosomal RNA (bases 1-120)
Source: RNAcentral